AGUGAACGCUGGCGGUAGGCCUAACACAUGCGAGUCGAACGGCAGCACAGUAAGAGCUUGCUCUUACGGGUGGCGAGUGGCGGACGGGUGAGGAAUACAUCGGAAUCUACUUUUUCGUGGGGGAUAACGUAGGGAAACUUACGCUAAUACCGCAUACGACCUACGGGAGAAAGCAGGGGAUCUUCGGACCUUGCGCGAUUGAAUGAGCCGAUGUCGGAUUAGCUAGUUGGCGGGGUAAAGGCCCACCAAGGCGACGAUCCGUAGCUGGUCUGAGAGGAUGAUCAGCCACACUGGAACUGAGACACGGUCCAGACUCCUACGGGAGGCAGCAGUGGGGAAUAUUGGACAAUGGGCGCAAGCCUGAUCCAGCCAUACCGCGUGGGUGAAGAAGGCCUUCGGGUUGUAAAGCCCUUUUGUUGGGAAAGAAAAGCAGCAGGUUAAUACCCCGCUGUUCUGACGGUACCCAAAGAAUAAGCACCGGCUAACUUCGUG
RNAcentral lists this ribosomal RNA (492 nucleotides) under uncultured bacterium. RNAcentral's name for it is "partial 16S ribosomal RNA". It matches the Rfam family "Bacterial small subunit ribosomal RNA", at positions 29 to 507 of the family's 1533-position model. The record is from RNAcentral.